This 1372-nucleotide ribosomal RNA is filed under the name uncultured bacterium. RNAcentral describes it as "bacterial SSU rRNA". It matches the Rfam family "Bacterial small subunit ribosomal RNA", at positions 28 to 1381 of the family's 1533-position model. The record is from RNAcentral.
GAUGAACGCUGGCGGCGUGCCUAAUACAUGCAAGUCGAGCGAACGGACGAGAAGCUUGCUUCUCUGAUGUUAGCGGCGGACGGGUGAGUAACACGUGGAUAACCUACCUAUAAGACUGGGAUAACUUCGGGAAACCGUAGCUAAUACCGGAUAAUAUUUUGAACCGCAUGGUUCAAAAGUGAAAGACGGUCUUGCUGUCACUUAUAGAUGGAUCCGCGCUGCAUUAGCUAGUUGGUAAGGUAACGGCUUACCAAGGCAACGAUGCAUAGCCGACCUGAGAGGGUGAUCGGCCACACUGGAACUGAGACACGGUCCAGACUCCUACGGGAGGCAGCAGUAGGGAAUCUUCCGCAAUGGGCGAAAGCCUGACGGAGCAACGCCGCGUGAGUGAUGAAGGUCUUCGGAUCGUAAAACUCUGUUAUUAGGGAAGAACAUAUGUGUAAGUAACUGUGCACAUCUUGACGGUACCUAAUCAGAAAGCCACGGCUAACUACGUGCCAGCAGCCGCGGUAAUACGUAGGUGGCAAGCGUUAUCCGGAAUUAUUGGGCGUAAAGCGCGCGUAGGCGGUUUUUUAAGUCUGAUGUGAAAGCCCACGGCUCAACCGUGGAGGGUCAUUGGAAACUGGAAAACUUGAGUGCAGAAGAGGAAAGUGGAAUUCCAUGUGUAGCGGUGAAAUGCGCAGAGAUAUGGAGGAACACCAGUGGCGAAGGCGACUUUCUGGUCUGUAACUGACGCUGAUGUGCGAAAGCGUGGGGAUCAAACAGGAUUAGAUACCCUGGUAGUCCACGCCGUAAACGAUGAGUGCUAAGUGUUAGGGGGUUUCCGCCCCUUAGUGCUGCAGCUAACGCAUUAAGCACUCCGCCUGGGGAGUACGACCGCAAGGUUGAAACUCAAAGGAAUUGACGGGGACCCGCACAAGCGGUGGAGCAUGUGGUUUAAUUCGAAGCAACGCGAAGAACCUUACCAAAUCUUGACAUCCUUUGACAACUCUAGAGAUAGAGCCUUCCCCUUCGGGGGACAAAGUGACAGGUGGUGCAUGGUUGUCGUCAGCUCGUGUCGUGAGAUGUUGGGUUAAGUCCCGCAACGAGCGCAACCCUUAAGCUUAGUUGCCAUCAUUAAGUUGGGCACUCUAAGUUGACUGCCGGUGACAAACCGGAGGAAGGUGGGGAUGACGUCAAAUCAUCGUGCCCCUUAUGAUUUGGGCUACACACGUGCUACAAUGGACAAUACAAAGGGCAGCGAAACCGCGAGGUCAAGCAAAUCCCAUAAAGUUGUUCUCAGUUCGGAUUGUAGUCUGCAACUCGACUACAUGAAGCUGGAAUCGCUAGUAAUCGUAGAUCAGCAUGCUACGGUGAAUACGUUCCCGGGUCU